Molecule: microRNA precursor, 75 nt
Filed under: Myotis lucifugus (little brown bat)
Lineage: Eukaryota; Metazoa; Chordata; Mammalia; Chiroptera; Vespertilionidae
Description: mir-9229 microRNA precursor family
Rfam family: mir-9229 microRNA precursor family
Source: Rfam by way of RNAcentral
AAGACACCCUUAAGGGCAAGACUUGCUUCAGUGGGGCUUUGGUGCUCACUGAGUCUGCCCCCUGAGUGUCCCUUA